AAACGUACAGAUUCAGAAUAUCAAAUGUGGGGCUUCAACUGUCCCUAAACUUCGAAAUAUUAGGUCAUAUGUUGAAGCUCGUUGAGGUCGAGGGAACCUACACAAUCCAAACCAAGUUCACUUCACUCGACAUUCACGUUGGUCAAUCUUACUCUGUCCUGGUCACCAUGGACCAGCCUCCCCAAAACUAUUCGAUUGUCGUGGGGACGAGAUUCACUGACUCACGAUCUACGAAUAGAAUUAUUCUUCACUACUCCAACUCCAAAAGCUCUAAAUUUGUCCCUAAUAGACAACCUGACAAUGACAUAGACUUUUCGAUUAAACAGGCUCGGUCCAUUAAGACUAACCUGACUGCGUCCAGGCAAAGGCAAGAUGCUCAGGGCUCAUACCAUUAUGGUCGAAUCAAGAUUUCUAGGACAUUAAUACUUGAAAGCUCAGCAGGCGUUGUGAACAGGAAGCAACGAUAUGCCAUAAAUGGCGUAUCAUUCGUUCCUGCUGAUACUCCACUGAAGCUAGCAGAUUAAUGAACAGGAAGCAACGAAAUGCAAUAAAUGGCGUAUCAUUCGCUCCUGCUGAUACUCCACUGAAGCUAGCAGAUUACUUUAAGAUCAAAGGUGUUUUCAAAGUAGGAAGCAUCCCAGAUAAGCCUGGAAGAGCAGGGAUCAGACUAGAAACAGCAGUGAUGGGAGUACACCACAAGGAUUUUCUUGAGAUCGUCUUUCAAAACCGCGAGAAGUACGUCCAGACUUACCAUCUCGAUGGAUACAACUUCUGGGUUGUCGGGUGAGAACAAUAACUUAAUCAUAUACUAUGGUAAUGAUAUUAAGCAUUGAAGGUCAUUGACGUAUGUGACUUCUCAACAGGAUUGGUAAUCGAUGGUCUACAUGGUCACAGGCGAGCAGACGAGACUAUAACCUCAGGGAUGCUAUUUCUCGCUCCACUACUCAGGUGACGUGAACUCUCUCCAUAUAUCUAUACAGUUUUGGAAUUUGUUGUCAAUAGAUUUUAUGCAAAGCUCAUACAAUUCCCCGUGGGGCACGUCCCCUCCCAGCUGAAAUUUAGUCACCAAUGAUAAUUUGAUCAUCAAUGUUCACAAUGAUCUGGACGAGCCUUUUCUCUUGUCUUGGUAUCUAUUUAUUUACCUCUUUCGUUUCACCUUUCGGUAAACAUAAUUUGAACCCGAUUCACAUGAAAUAUUUCUACAUCCAUUUAAAAAGCAAUGCAAUUUUAAUAUAUAUAUAUAUAUAUAUAUAUGCAUAUAUGGAAAUUAUAAGUUAUAUUAGAAGAAGGCCAUUUGCAUGCACAUGUGCCGUUUCUUCCCAUUCUUUCUAUUUUGUUGGGUAAUAUUACACGUCAUGUUUCAUCCUAAUUACAGUAUCAUAAAAAAAAAUCAUAUAAAUAUCAUAAACACAAAACAUGUUUUCAUAAAUGGAGGAACGGCUUGCAUCUAAAGAGAAACUCUUACCAAGAUGGAGUGUAUGGGACGACUUGUCCAAUCCCACCUGGAAAGAAUUACACUUAUGCCUUCCAUCUCGAAGACCAGAUCGGAAGUUUCUUCUACUUCCCUUCGCUGGCCGUUCAAAAAGCCGCCGGUGGUUUUGGUGCCAUCCGUAUCCUCAGUCGCCCUGGCACGCCCGUCCCUUUCCCGCAACCAGCCGGAGACUUCACCAUCCUCAUCGGGGAUUGGUAUACUGGGGAAGACCACAAGGUUUAUAUCUUAAUUAUUAACUUAUCAUGUUUGCUUAGCACAACGGCUGGCUCAAGAUUAUUGUGGGUUUACAUGGCGAUUUUUAAUUUUAUUUUUGGAUUCACAUUGGAUUUCUAGACCUUUUUAUUAAAUAAUGUUUGUUUUUUAAAAGUAUUACUAAUCCCACACGUAGGAUUUAAAGGCACGUUUGGAUGGAGGACGCAUGAUACCUAGGCCUUCUAGUGUAUAGUGUUUUGAUCAAUGGCAAUGAAGACACCGCCUCUACUUCUCUAACUGUCGACAAAGGUUAAUGUUUAAAACUCCAAACUCUAAUAUGUUAGUUACAAAGAAGAGCAUUUUCGCGAUCUCAUCAUCACUUUCAUGGGUUAAUAAUUAACAGGUAAAACGUACAGAUUCAGAAUAUCAAAUGUGGGGCUUCAACUGUCCCUAAACUUCGAAAUAUUAGGUCAUAUGUUGAAGCUCGUUGAGGUCGAGGGAACCUACACAAUCCAAACCAAGUUCACUUCACUCGACAUUCACGUUGGUCAAUCUUACUCUGUCCUGGUCACCAUGGACCAGCCUCCCCAAAACUAUUCGAUUGUCGUGGGGACGAGAUUCACUGACUCACGAUCUACGAAUAUAAUUAUUCUUCACUACUCCAACUCCAAAAGCUCUAAAUUUGUCCCUAAUAGACAACCUGACAAUGACAUAGACUUUUCGAUUAAACAGGCUCGGUCCAUUAAGACUAACCUGACUGCCUCCAGGCAAAGGCAAGAUGCUCAGGGCUCAUACCAUUAUGGUCGAAUCAAGAUUUCUAGGACAUUAAUACUUGAAAGCUCAGCAGGCGUUGUGAACAGGAAGCAACGAUAUGCCAU
This 2562-nucleotide long non-coding RNA is filed under the name Brassica napus (rape). Its description in RNAcentral is "long non-coding RNA (BNAP_LNC005156)". Lineage: Eukaryota; Viridiplantae; Streptophyta; Magnoliopsida; Brassicales; Brassicaceae. The record is from RNAcentral.